CUACAAUGUCAUGCAGCUGUGAAUUUUUUGAGAAUCUACAUUUCCAGAAGCAAGACCUGGUCUUUGGAAAUGAAAGAGAAUAUGAUACAGAAAGGAAGUGCAAUAAACAAAGCACAGCCGACCGAGGCAGCAUUCAUAGCCGUCACAAAGGAAAAACAUGCUCCUUGAGCAGAAACACCUUGGUUUUUGAAAACAGCACCAUUCUUAGCAAAUCUACGUGCUUUCC
This is a long non-coding RNA of Suricata suricatta (meerkat), 226 nucleotides long. RefSeq lists it as uncharacterized. NCBI's taxonomy places the organism in Eukaryota, Metazoa, Chordata, Mammalia, Carnivora, Herpestidae. The transcript is spliced from 3 exons. The record is from RefSeq and is a predicted model, not a curated record.